Molecule: long non-coding RNA, 238 nt
Filed under: Helianthus annuus (common sunflower)
Lineage: Eukaryota; Viridiplantae; Streptophyta; Magnoliopsida; Asterales; Asteraceae
Description: hypothetical non coding rna
Source: RNAcentral
UGAGGUAAUUCCACACAUCUUGACUAACGGUCUGUCAUCUGCAUUCCUCUUAUUAACAGGGGAAACUUCAGUUGGUAUGUUUAUUAUACAAGAUACUGAUUUCUUCUUCUGAAACCUUGGGCGUAACGUAUGUAACGUCAUGUUCUUUGAACCUGGUAUUGCCACUUGGGCAUUAGAAGUCCCCUCGUCUGAUACUGGCAUCCCACGUUUGACCCUGAAAUUGACGAUGUUAUGUUAA